Molecule: long non-coding RNA, 1194 nt
Filed under: Homo sapiens (human)
Lineage: Eukaryota; Metazoa; Chordata; Mammalia; Primates; Hominidae
Description: HSALNT0368598
Source: RNAcentral
ACUCAAGCUGGGACCGUGGAAAGAGAAAGAAAGGAAGAAACAAGAAAAUAGAGAAGAUUUUCAAAUACAUGAUAGAGGAAUACAGGAAACCCCAAAGAGAUUAAAGUGGAUCUACUGAAAUUGAAGGGAGUGGGGAGAAAGUGGACCCCAAUCAGUUCAAGUUACAAAGCGGUCCUCAAGAGAAGAAAAACAGCGUCAGAACAAGAGAGAGGAAGUGUAAUAUUGUGAUACAAGAAGAAAUAUAUAUUUGGUCUCUGUCCCCAUUUCUGGAGCUAAUAUUUGGUCUCUACCACAGUUCCUGACACAGAUCUCCUAAGACCUCUGUAAUUUCCUGAGUGGUAGGAGCUUCUGGCACAGAGGUCCAAAAUCCCUUGGAAUUUCUUGGGCGAUAGGAGCAUCUUCUGUUCUAAUGAGGUAACAGUUGGUGGAGGCUGGUCGCUAGGGGAACCAACAAUGUGAUUGGAGGGUUGGAACUUUCAGCCUCACUCCGUGACUUCCUGGAAGGGGAGAGGUACUGAGGUUGAGUCUAUCCCCAAUGGCCAAUGAUGUCAUCAAUCAUGCCUAAAUAAUGAAGCCUCCAUAAAAACUCAAAAGGAUGGGAUUUGGAGAACUUCUGGAAUGCUGAGCAUGUGGAGGUGCCUGGAGAGGGCAUGGAAGCUCCACAUGCCUGCCCACAUACUUUGCACUGUGCAUCCCUUCCAUCUGGCUGUUCAUCUUUUUGAGGAAGCUGUGCUGGGAGAGUGGCUGUAUUGGAGGUGUUUCCAUUUUGAAACCACAUCUCUUAACUAAACGAGUUGAUUAGAGAAAUGAGCAAAUUAACAAGGUCAAAAGAAGGUCUUGCCCUGAAGGCACAGACUUGAAGUGUUCAGCUGAUGGAGAGCUGAAUGCCAUGACAACCAGGUGCCAAGGAACUUCAGAAUCUCCAAAUGGAAGUCUCCAAAGCCCCUGAUUCACCAGAAAGAGAGAAAACCAUCCACUGGCCACCACACUGUUAUAUGAGCAGAACACAAACUCCUGUUGUGUUUGAGCCUGUAAACAUUCUGGGCAGCAGAUUAUCCUCUUUAACAUACAAAAUGAUGCCUCAAAUAUGCCUACAAACAAGUAAAAUCAGCUAUCCAGAAAGCUACUCUGUGCCAUAGUUUCUUUAUUUCUAUUUCUGCAACAUGAGGCACCCCAGUGUCAACCAGGGACCGC